GACGAACGCUGGCGGCGUGCUUAACACAUGCAAGUCGUACGGUAAGGCCCUUUCGGGGGUACACGAGUGGCGAACGGGUGAGUAACACGUGAGUAACCUGCCCACAACUUUGGGAUAACGCUAGGAAACUGGUGCUAAUACUGGAUAUGUGCUCCUGCUGCAUGGUGGGGGUUGGAAAGCUCCGGCGGUUGUGGAUGGACUCGCGGCCUAUCAGCUUGUUGGUGGGGUAGUGGCCUACCAAGGCGGCGACGGGUAGCCGGCCUGAGAGGGUGACCGGCCACAUUGGGACUGAGAUACGGCCCAGACUCCUACGGGAGGCAGCAGUGGGGAAUAUUGCACAAGGGGCGCAAGCCGGAUGCAGCAACGCCGCGUGCGGGAGGACGGCCUUCGGGUUGGAAACCGCUUUCAGCAGGGACGAAGCUUUUUGUGACGGUACCUGCAGAAGAAGCACCGGCUAACUACGUG
RNAcentral lists this ribosomal RNA (465 nucleotides) under uncultured bacterium. Its description in RNAcentral is "partial 16S ribosomal RNA". It matches the Rfam family "Bacterial small subunit ribosomal RNA", at positions 28 to 507 of the family's 1533-position model. The record is from RNAcentral.